Molecule: ribosomal RNA, 3010 nt
Filed under: Zea mays
Lineage: Eukaryota; Viridiplantae; Streptophyta; Magnoliopsida; Poales; Poaceae
Description: eukaryotic LSU rRNA
Rfam family: Eukaryotic large subunit ribosomal RNA (bases 387-2318)
Source: RNAcentral
ACGACUCUCGGCAACGGAUAUCUUGGCUCUCGCAUCGAUGAAGAACGUAGCAAAAUGCGAUACCUGGUGUGAAUUGCAGAAUCCCGCGAACCAUCGAGUUUUUGAACGCAAGUUGCGCCCGAAGCCUUCUGGCGGAGGGCACGUUUGCCUGGGCGUCACGCCAAAAGACACUCCCAACACCCCCCCCCCCCCGCGGGGCGAGCGACGUGGCGUCUGGCCCCCCGCGCCGAAGGGCGAGGUGGGCCGAAGCAGGGGCUGCCGGCGAACCGCGCCGGGCGCAGCACGUGGUGGGCGACAUCAAGUUGUUCUCGGUGCAGCGUCCCGGCGCGAGGCCGGCCAUUCGGCCCUAAGGACCCAUCGAGCGACCGAGCUUGCCCUCGGACCGCGACCCCAGGUCAGUCGGGACUACCCGCUGAGUUUAAGCAUAUAAAUAAGCGGAGGAGAAGAAACUUACGAGGAUUCCCCUAGUAACGGCGAGCGAAUCGGGAGCAGCCCAGCUUGAGAAUCGGGUGGCCUCGCCGCCCGAAUUGUAGUCUGGAGAGGCGUCCUCAGCGACGGACCGGGCCCAAGUUCUCUGGAAAGGGACGCCUGGGAGGGUGAGAGCCCCGUCCGGCCCGGACCCUGUCGCACCACGAGGCGCCGUCAACGAGUCGGGUUGUUUGGGAAUGCAGCCCAAAUCGGGCGGUAAACUCCGUCCAAGGCUAAAUACAGGCGAGAGACCGAUAGCGAACAAGUACCGCGAGGGAAAGAUGAAAAGGACUUUGAAAAGAGAGUCAAAGAGUGCUUGAAAUUGCCGGGAGGGAAGCGGAUGGGGGCUGGCGACGCGCACCGGCCGUAUGCGGAACGGCUCCUGCUGGUCCGCCGAUCGGCUCGGGGCGUGGACCGUUGUCGCCCGCGCCGGCGGCCAAAGCCCGGGGGCCCUAGGCGCCUCCGGCAGCCGUCGUCGGCACGGACGGUAUCCGCGUGCCUCUGGCGCGCCCCUCGGGGCGCUGCGCCGCAACGGCCUGCGAGCUCCCCAUCCGACCCGUCUUGAAACACGGACCAAGGAGUCUGACAUGCGUGCGAGUCGACGGGUUCAGAAACCUGAGAUGCGCAAGGAAGCUGACGAGCGGGAGGCCCUCACGAGCCGCACCACUGGCCGACCCUGAUCUUCUGUGAAGGGUUCGAGUUGGAGCACGCCUGUCGGGACCCGAAAGAUGGUGAACUAUGCCUGAGCGGGGCGAAGCCAGAGGAAACUCUGGUGGAGGCUCGAAGCGAUACUGACGUGCAAAUCAUUCGUCUGACUUGGGUAUAGGGGCGAAAGACUAAUCGAACCAUCUAGUAGCUGGUUCCCUCUGAAGUUUCCCUCAGGAUAGCUGGAGCCCACACGAGUUCUAUCGGGUAAAGCCAAUGAUUAGAGGCAUCGGGGGCGCAACGCCCUCGACCUAUUCUCAAACUUUAAAUAGGUAGGACGGCGCGGCUGCUUCGGUGAGCCGUGCCACAGAAUCGGGAGCUCCAAGUGGGCCAUUUUUGGUAAGCAGAACUGGCGAUGCGGGAUGAACCGGAAGCUGGGUUACGGUGCCAAACUGCGCGCUAACCUAGAACCCACAAAGGGUGUUGGUCGAUUAAGACAGCAGGACGGUGGUCAUGGAAGUCGAAAUCCGCUAAGGAGUGUGUAACAACUCACCUGCCGAAUCAACUAGCCCCGAAAAUGGAUGGCGCUGAAGCGCGCGACCCACACCCGGCCAUCUGGGCGAGCGACAUGCCCCGAUGAGUAGGAGGGCGCGGCGGCCGCCGCAAAACCCGGGGCGCGAGCCCGGGCGGAGCGGCCGUCGGUGCAGAUCUUGGUGGUAGUAGCAAAUAUUCAAAUGAGAACUUUGAAGGCCGAAGAGGAGAAAGGUUCCAUGUGAACGACACUUGCACAUGGGUAAGCCGAUCCUAAGGGACGGGGGAAACCCGGCAGAUAGCGCGAUCACGCGCGUCACCCGAAAGGGAAUCGGGUUAAGAUUUCCCGAGCCGGGACGUGGCGGCAGACGGCGACGUUAGGAAGUCCGGAGACGCCGGCGGGGGCCUCGGGAAGAGUUAUCUUUUCUGCUUAACGGCCCGCUAGUGGCAGAACCACCCGAAUUAUUCCAGCUUAAGUGCCUAAGUCACGCCUCAGGGGCCGUAACACACUUAAAUCGGAAUAACCUGUCAGUCCUUCAGAUCUAGUCUGAUAGAGCCACUUAACCAGGAUCAAAUUCCACAAUCUCACUCGAAGGUGAGUCACAGAAGAAAUACAAUAAAACAGGAAACCUCAAAUUAAGUACUGAGUUAUUACAUAAAUCGGAGUUUUGAGUAGCAAUAGAGUUCACAAAUUAAGGUGCAGCGGAUAAUCGAUGUCGUCGGUAAUGAGGAAAUGGGCAAGGCCUAGCCCACUACUCCUCAUGCUCCUCUCCUGCCGGAGCAACAUCCCACUCGACCGUCCAACCCGGUGGCAGGGUGGUAGGCCAAGUCACACCAUCAACCAAAUCCUGCAUGGUACCUGCAAAAAUUGUGCCACAAGCAAGGCUGAGUAUACUAAUACUCAGCUAGACUUAACCGGUGUGAGGAGUCUACUCCUCUACCUCUAGACUAUGCAGCUGUUUGGCUGAGGGGUUUGGUUUGCCAAAAGCACUAGCUGUUUCUAAAAUCAAUUUUUAGCUUUUCAAAUUCUACCAUCAUUAACUUAGCUAGAUUUGCUCCUUCUAAGCAUACAUGGUAACAAGCAUUUAGUUCAAUCAACAAGUUAUCUCAUAUAUCCACAUUUCACUUCUUACUCGAUGCAGUACAAGGAAUCAAGCAGUCUUAUUAGCUGCGAGAAGCAGACGAUUCGAAUCGAGUUUUAACCUUGCAAGGUAAACCUAAACACACGUCAUGUCAGGGUACUCCGACCUCGCACAUGACAACCGUCCCCAUCGAUUCCCCGUUCGCAUCCAGGCCUCACCGCCUUGGCAUACAAUGCUCCACUGACCCCGGCUGCCGCCGUGCAGUGACCGCACUUGUACCCACC